Small nucleolar RNA from Catharus ustulatus (Swainson's thrush), 76 nucleotides. The record is from Ensembl. NCBI's taxonomy places the organism in Eukaryota, Metazoa, Chordata, Aves, Passeriformes, Turdidae.
CUGAGCUAGUGAUGAUAAAAGUUAUCCCUGUCUGAAUUUGAUCUUUCCUCUGUGGAAGCUUAACUCUGAGGCUCAG